Molecule: non-coding RNA, 204 nt
Filed under: bovine gut metagenome
Description: raiA RNA
Rfam family: raiA RNA
Source: RNAcentral
GCGCGUCUGUGGUUGAAAGUCGAUGCCAGUCGCAGGCGAAACGAUCCACGUAAGCCGGGAAAAUUCCGGUGAGCAUGGUGCGGCUUAGAGGUAAGUCCUGCCAACAACAAUAUUCCGUUGAGAGGGCCAGUAGUGGGGAGGCAGAGUCCUUAGGAGCGAACGUCCCAGCAGGCGAGUGUGGGGUCAAAGACCAGGUCAGGCGCG